This 809-nucleotide long non-coding RNA is filed under the name Taeniopygia guttata (zebra finch). RNAcentral's name for it is "lncRNA (ENSTGUG00000026875.1)". Lineage: Eukaryota; Metazoa; Chordata; Aves; Passeriformes; Estrildidae. The record is from RNAcentral.
CUUUCACACACCUCUGAGGUCAGGUGAUGGAGAGAGCACUGAAAUCCCCUCUGCAUCAAUGUAGCCCCAGGUGCACCAUCAGUGUCUCAAAAAUCAGGUGCUUAACCCUGGAUCAGGGGUCAGUACAACAGGAACUGUGUGGCUCACUGACAGUGGGGAGCAUAGAUGGAAGAUAGAAACAUUUUAAGCCCUGGAUGAGAAUUUCCUUGCAUGCUAAAUCUUGUAACAAACAAUUUUUUUUUAAUAGUUGUACAGCGCCAUUUUAUAAAAAUGGUGUACUUGUAGCACAUUUUUUUCUGGAAUAUAAUUAUUGAUGAAAGGGCUGUGUGAUGGUAUUAAAAGUGUGGCAGGGAGCUGAGGCUGGGUCUGGUGUGACAGUGACCUUAUUCUGACCUUUUCCUUGCAAGACUGAACCAGAGUUUAUGAUGAAAUUUGGUACCAGGCUUUUGACACAGCAGUUUUUUGCGAAGUGCCCCAGACUGAUCUUGAUGUUUAUCACAGAUGUAUUUGCUGUAACCCUGAAUAGCAGGAGCCUUUCAUGGGUACAGAGCCAAGAAACUAUAAUUUCACAAAGUCUGCUAGCAAGAAGUGGAUCCUCAAGAGAUGUGGAUUGCCAAAAUGUGCAAACGCUUCUGUGCAGUUGGCUGCCAUAAAGAAGUGCUUCCAAUCCCUGACAACAGCAGAGCUACAAGUUCAGUUCAGGAGAAACCUGCUAAAGAUUAAAAAGCAGAGAAGCUACCCUUAUAUUCCAGUGAUCCUCAAAAGCUGAAAGAAAGACUUUCCAUAGUAAGUAUACAGUUAUUAUUGCA